GCUGGCGGCGUGCUUAACACAUGCAAGUCGAACGAUGAUCCCAGCUUGCUGGGGGAUUAGUGGCGAACGGGUGAGUAACACGUGAGUAACCUGCCCUUGACUCUGGGAUAAGCCUGGGAAACCGGGUCUAAUACUGGAUAUGACCUUCUGGCGCAUGCCAUGUUGGUGGAAAGCUUUAUUGCGGUUUUGGAUGGACUCGCGGCCUAUCAGCUUGUUGGUGGGGUAAUGGCCUACCAAGGCGACGACGGGUAGCCGGCCUGAGAGGGUGGACGGCCACACUGGGACUGAGACACGGCCCAGACUCCUACGGGAGGCAGCAGUGGGGAAUAUUGCACAAUGGGCGCAAGCCUGAUGCAGCGACGCCGCGUGGGGGAUGAAGGCCUUCGGGUUGUAAACCUCUUUCAGUAGGGAAGAAGCGAAAGUGACGGUACCUGCAGAAGAAGCGCCGGCUAACUACGUGCCAGCAGCCGCGGUAAUACGUAGGGCGCAAGCGUUAUCCGGAAUUAUUGGGCGUAAAGAGCUCGUAGGCGGUUUGUCGCGUCUGCCGUGAAAGUCCGGGGCUUAACUCCGGAUCUGCGGUGGGUACGGGCAGACUAGAGUGAUGUAGGGGAGACUGGAAUUCCUGGUGUAGCGGUGAAAUGCGCAGAUAUCAGGAGGAACACCGAUGGCGAAGGCAGGUCUCUGGGCAUUAACUGACGCUGAGGAGCGAAAGCAUGGGGAGCGAACAGGAUUAGAUACCCUGGUAGUCCAUGCCGUAAACGUUGGGCACUAGGUGUGGGGGACAUUCCC
This 789-nucleotide ribosomal RNA is filed under the name Arthrobacter sp. CAL585. RNAcentral's name for it is "bacterial SSU rRNA". It matches the Rfam family "Bacterial small subunit ribosomal RNA", at positions 35 to 840 of the family's 1533-position model. The record is from RNAcentral. Lineage: Bacteria; Bacillati; Actinomycetota; Actinomycetes; Micrococcales; Micrococcaceae.